GACGAACGCUGGCGGCGUGCCUAAUACAUGCAAGUCGAGCGAGCGGAACUAACAGAUUUACUUCGGUAAUGACGUUAGGAACGCGAGCGGCGGAUGGGUGAGUAACACGUGGGGAACCUGCCCCAUAGUCUGGGAUACCACUUGGAAACAGGUGCUAAUACCGGAUAAGAAAGCAGAUCGCAUGAUCAGCUUUUAAAAGGCGGCGUAAGCUGUCGCUAUGGGAUGGCCCCGCGGUGCAUUAGCUAGUUGGUAAGGUAAAGGCUUACCAAGGCGAUGAUGCAUAGCCGAGUUGAGAGACUGAUCGGCCACAUUGGGACUGAGACACGGCCCAAACUCCUACGGGAGGCAGCAGUAGGGAAUCUUCCACAAUGGACGCAAGUCUGAUGGAGCAACGCCGCGUGAGUGAAGAAGGUUUUCGGAUCGUAAAGCUCUGUUGUUGGUGAAGAAGGAUAGAGGUAGUAACUGGCCUUUAUUUGACGGUAAUCAACCAGAAAGUCACGGCUAACUACGUG
Molecule: ribosomal RNA, 512 nt
Filed under: uncultured bacterium
Lineage: Bacteria
Description: partial 16S ribosomal RNA
Rfam family: Bacterial small subunit ribosomal RNA
Source: RNAcentral